CCACAUUCAUGUGGCAAAUGCUGCUUUAUGGAGAUGUUUCUAAUACUGACCUACAAUAAUUCAGCCAAGAUCACGUUUCUACUGUCUUCAGGAAAUGAGAAAAAUGAAUCCAGGAAAUUUCCAUCUUUAACUAUACUCUGUAAAUGUGCUGUCCAAUACACAGAUAGCUACUGAGCACUGGAAUAUAGCUAGUCUGAAUGGAGAUGUUCUGUCAAAAACAUCCAUUCUACUUUAAGGUAUUGAGGCAAAGAAGAGAGCCUCACUCAAGUCAUUGUGCGCCGCAGGGUUUCUCUCAGGACACGUGUGUGGGAAUCAAGAAAAACUGAACCAUCUGGUCAAGGAAUCUUGGGAAUUCUGGAAGAGCUGUGCACCCCAGGACAGGAGCUGAAAAUCUUCCUUACAUUUCAUUCUCUUUCAAAUAACCUGCAAUUUUGCAUAGUAGGCAUUCACAACUUUAACCACUUUUCAUUUGCCAUAUUCAGUCUGAUAAAUUAACUGAUUAAUGAAUCCUUUCUUCUUUCCUUCAUCCUUUCCUACCUCCUUUUCAUUCUUUCCUCCUUUAUUUCCUUCUUUGGUUUUGCUACCUGGACACUGUGCAAUGUUGAGUAAGCUACUUAGCUCUUCUAUGCUUUAGCUUCUUCUCUAAUUGAAAUAGUAAUAUUAACAUUAAUAAUAAUAAUAUAUCCUCUAGGGCUGUUGUGAUGAUUAAAUGAGUUAAUACAUCUGUAA
Molecule: long non-coding RNA, 729 nt
Organism: Homo sapiens (human)
Lineage: Eukaryota; Metazoa; Chordata; Mammalia; Primates; Hominidae
Source: Ensembl